Molecule: long non-coding RNA, 391 nt
Filed under: Ananas comosus (pineapple)
Lineage: Eukaryota; Viridiplantae; Streptophyta; Magnoliopsida; Poales; Bromeliaceae
Description: long non-coding RNA (ACOM_LNC029913)
Source: RNAcentral
GAAGGAACUACGUUCCAGUAUGAUCUAACGGGUGUAAACGAUCAAAAGGGUCGAUCUAACGGCAGAAAACUUGGUAGCACCAAGUGCUUCGUGCUAUUAAUAGCACAGUAGCCGGAUUUUAUAUAUAUAUAUAUAUAUAUAUAUAUAGCAGAACUGCUGUGCUCUCAGGAGCACGAAAGUCUCCGUGCUCCUGAGCCGUUUUCGAUGAUGAAAUUUCUGAAUCGACGAUCGACUCCGUUAGACAUGAUCUAGCGUAUUUGAAGUUUCUAGAAAAUAAUUUUUGCGAUUUUUCGAUAUCAUUUACCUAGCAAUCGAAAGAAUUCAAAAUCAAUAAUUUUUAACGGCUGAAAUAAAAAUCCUAUAAAAAAUGAUGAUAUAGCACUAAAAUUUU